This 537-nucleotide ribosomal RNA is filed under the name fungal sp. ARIZ B514. RNAcentral's name for it is "eukaryotic LSU rRNA". The stretch from base 187 to 340 matches the Rfam family "5.8S ribosomal RNA". Lineage: Eukaryota; Fungi. The record is from RNAcentral.
GGGAUCAUUAAAGAGUUUUAUAACUCCCAAACCCAUGUGAACAUACUUUACGUUGCCUCGGCAGGUCGCGCCUACCCCGUAGCCUCCUACCCUGUAGGACCUACCCGGUAGACGCGGGUAAGCCUGCCGGCGGCCCAAGAAACUCUGCUUAGUAUUGAAUUCUGAAUCCAUAACUAAAUAAGUUAAAACUUUCAACAACGGAUCUCUUGGUUCUGGCAUCGAUGAAGAACGCAGCGAAAUGCGAUAAGUAAUGUGAAUUGCAGAAUUCAGUGAAUCAUCGAAUCUUUGAACGCACAUUGCGCCCAUUAGUAUUCUAGUGGGCAUGCCUGUUCGAGCGUCAUUUCAACCCUUAAGCCUCUGUUGCUUAGUGUUGGGAGCCUACGGCACCCGUAGCUCCUCAAAGUUAGUGGCGGAGUCGGUUCACACUCUAGACGUAGUAAUUUUUUCUCGCCUAUCAGUUGGACCGGUCCCCUGCCGUAAAACACCCCAAUUUCUAAAGGUUGACCUCGGAUCAGGUAGGAAUACCCGCUGAACUUA